CCCAUCUGAACAUCCGUGGCUCGCCUCCUUGCGGUUAGGCUAACGGCUUCUGGAGCAACUCACUCCCAUGGUGUGACGGGCGGUGUGUACAANGCCCGGGAACGUAUUCACCGCAGCAUAGCUGAUCUGCGAUUACUANCGAUUCCGACUUCACGAAGUCNAGUUGCAGACUUCGAUCCGGACUGGGAUCGGCUUUCUGGGAUUGGCUCCACCUCGCGGUAUUGCAACCCUCUGUACCGACCAUUGUAGUACGUGUGUANCCCUGGCCGUAAGGGCCAUGAUGACUUGACGUCAUCCCCACCUUCCUCCGGUUUGUCACCGGCAGUCUCCUUAGGAGUUCCCACCAUUACGUGCUGGCAACUAAGGGACAANGGUUGCGCUCGUUUGCGGGGACUUAACCCAACAUCUCACGACACGANCUGACNACGGCCAUGCAGCACCUGUGUUCUGAUUCCCGAAAGGCCUCCCGCAUCUCU
This 476-nucleotide ribosomal RNA is filed under the name Amazonian soil bacterium M43. RNAcentral's name for it is "partial 16S ribosomal RNA". The record is from RNAcentral.